This 253-nucleotide ribosomal RNA is filed under the name uncultured bacterium. Its description in RNAcentral is "partial 16S ribosomal RNA". It matches the Rfam family "Bacterial small subunit ribosomal RNA", at positions 524 to 776 of the family's 1533-position model. The record is from RNAcentral.
UACGAAGGGGGCUAGCGUUGCUCGGAAUUACUGGGCGUAAAGCGCACGUAGGCGGAUUUGUAAGUCAGGGGUGAAAUCCCGGGGCUCAACCUCGGAACUGCCUUUGAUACUGCAAAUCUCGAGUCCGGAAGAGGUGAGUGGAAUUCCUAGUGUAGAGGUGAAAUUCGUAGAUAUUAGGAAGAACACCAGUGGCGAAGGCGGCUCACUGGCCCGGUACUGACGCUGAGGCGCGAAAGCGUGGGGAGCAAACAGG